GAUGAACGCUGGCGGCGUGCCUAAUACAUGCAAGUCGAGCGAACAGACGAGGAGCUUGCUCCUCUGACGUUAGCGGCGGACGGGUGAGUAACACGUGGAUAACCUACCUAUAAGACUGGGAUAACUUCGGGAAAACGGAGCUACUAACGGAUAAUAUAUUGAACCGCAUGGUUCAAUAGUGAAAGACGGUUUUGCUGUCACUUAUAGAUGGAUCCGCGCCGCAUUAGCUAGUUGGUAAGGUAACGGCUUACCAAGGCAACGAUGCGUAGCCGACCUGAGAGGGUGAUCGGCCACACUGGAACUGAGACACGGUCCAGACUCCUACGGGAGGCAGCAGUAGGGAAUCUUCCGCAAUGGGCGAAAGCUUGACGGAGCAACGCCGCGUGAGUGAUGAAGGUCUUCGGAUCGUAAAACUCUUUUAUUAGGGAAGAACAAAUGUGUAAGUAACUAUGCACGUCUUGACGGUACCUAAUCAGAAAGCCACGGCUAACUACGUG
RNAcentral lists this ribosomal RNA (497 nucleotides) under uncultured bacterium. RNAcentral describes it as "partial 16S ribosomal RNA". It matches the Rfam family "Bacterial small subunit ribosomal RNA", at positions 28 to 507 of the family's 1533-position model. The record is from RNAcentral.